AUGAGAGGACAAUUGUAUCCAAGCAAAGUUAUAGAAUGGGAAAUUCAUUUCAUAAUCAUGUGCAUGUGGAUGACGUCCAACUUGCUAGUGGUCAUGUCAAUCUACUGCAGGAGAAGAAAAGAAGUUCUUGUUCUCAAAGUUCAAAAGAAUGUUCUCGGUAGAGUGUCUCUCGUUAUAAUUAUCGAGAUUCACCUAGAAAAGAAUAAAAGGGGUAUUAGUAAUGUCGCAUGGACAUGCUUAGAAAGGUAUCUAAAGUAUGCAUGCGAGAAACCUAAGCAUGUUCUUAUAGUCAAUGGUAAUGGAACCGGAAACUAUGGUGUUCCAAAAGUUGAUGAGAAAAGAUUGAAAACGGAUAUGGUGCCAUAUGCUUCAGCUGUUAAAGCUCAAUAUAUUACCAUGACAUAG
RNAcentral lists this ribosomal RNA (405 nucleotides) under Triticum aestivum (bread wheat). RNAcentral describes it as "partial small subunit ribosomal RNA". Lineage: Eukaryota; Viridiplantae; Streptophyta; Magnoliopsida; Poales; Poaceae. The record is from RNAcentral.